RNAcentral lists this ribosomal RNA (394 nucleotides) under uncultured bacterium. Its description in RNAcentral is "partial 16S ribosomal RNA". It matches the Rfam family "Bacterial small subunit ribosomal RNA", at positions 523 to 917 of the family's 1533-position model. The record is from RNAcentral.
AUACGUAGGUGACAAGCGUUAUCCGGAUUUACUGGGCGUAAAGGGCGUGUAGGCGGUCUUGCAAGUCAGAAGUGAAAUUCCUGAGCUCAACUCGGGCGCUGCUUCUGAAACUGCAGGACUUGAGUGCUGGAGGGGAUAGCGGAAUUCCUAGUGGAGCGGUAAAAUGCGCAGAUAUUAGGAAGAACACCGGUGGCGAAGGCGGCUAUCUGGACAGUAACUGACGCUGAGGCGCGAAAGCGUGGGGAGCAAACAGGAUUAGAUACCCUGGUAGUCCACGCUGUAAACGAUGAAUGCUAGGUGUAGGGGUCGAAGGACUUCUGUGCCGCAGUUAACACAAUAAGCAUUCCACCUGGGGAGUACGGCCGCAAGGUUGAAACUCAAAUGAAUUGACGGG